Molecule: long non-coding RNA, 686 nt
Organism: Ictalurus punctatus (channel catfish)
Lineage: Eukaryota; Metazoa; Chordata; Actinopteri; Siluriformes; Ictaluridae
Source: Ensembl
GGUAAAGCUUUCACAAUAUUCACAAUACAUAGAUAGGCCCUAGUACCCUUUACUGUGGGUUACAAUGACUAGGGCAUAUCACAUGAAUCAUUGAUAGUGCACUAGAAGUAAUAACUAGAAGUAAUAGGGUUAGGGUUACAAAGGCAAGGUGUAUCAGGUAGAAAAAGUUCAUGAUAGGUAAACAGGUCCUAGUACCCAUCCUUGGGGUUACAAUCACUAGGGGAUUUCAGCUGGAACAUCACACAUACACUAUAGGUAAACAGGUCCUAGUACCCAUCCUUGGGGUUACAGUGACUAGGGGAUAUCAGCUGGAACAUCACACAUACACUAUAGGUAAACAGGUCCUAGUACCCAUCCUUGGGGUUACAGUGACUAGGGGAUAUCAGCUGGAACAUCACACAUACACUAUAGGUAAACAGGCCCCUAGUACCCAUCCUUGGGGUUACAAUGGCAAGGUGUAUCAGGUGGAAAAGCAAGCAUUCACAACAAAAACAGCCCCUAGUAGCCAUACUUUAAGUCUUCUUAGCUUCCCAAAAUCUUGGAACCUAAGAGUAGCCCCGGUCAAACAGAGAACAGAGAAGUAACUCUGCACUGUUAUGUUGCUUACCAUACUUUUCCCUUCUACUCUGUUGUACGGUUCCACACAUGUAGAACCUUUAGAGCUUCCCAGGAGGACGACCAAAGAA